GCAUAUCAAUAAGCGGAGGAAAAGAAACCAACAGGGAUUGCCUUAGUAACGGCGAGUGAAGCGGCAAAAGCUCAAAUUUGAAAUCGGCCAUCAGGUCGAGUUGUAAUUUGUAGAUUGUACUUUGAGAGCGGAUUAAAGUCUGUUGGAACACAGCGCCUUAGAGGGUGACAGCCCCGUUAAAAUCUAUUCUCAUUGUAAGGUACUUUCGAAGAGUCGAGUUGUUUGGGAAUGCAGCUCUAAGUGGGAGGUAAAUUCCUUCUAAAGCUAAAUAUUGACGAGAGACCGAUAGCGAACAAGUACUGUGAAGGAAAGAUGAAAAGCACUUUGAAAAGAGAGUGAAAAAGUACGUGAAAUUGUUGAAAGGGAAGGGCAUUAGAUCAGACUUGGUGUUUUACGAUUAUCUUCUCUUCUUGAGUUGUGCACUCGUAUUUCACUGGGCCAGCAUCGAUUCGGAUGGCAAGAUAAUGGCAGUUGAAUGUGGCUUCACUUCGGUGGAGUGUUAUAGCUUCUGCUGAUAUUGCCUGUCUGGAUCGAGGGCUGCGUCUUUUGACUAGGAUGCUGGCGUAAUGAUCUAAUGCCGCCCGUCUUGAAACACGGACC
Molecule: ribosomal RNA, 600 nt
Filed under: uncultured fungus
Lineage: Eukaryota; Fungi
Description: LSU rRNA
Rfam family: Eukaryotic large subunit ribosomal RNA
Source: RNAcentral